RNAcentral lists this ribosomal RNA (1152 nucleotides) under Triticum aestivum (bread wheat). RNAcentral describes it as "partial small subunit ribosomal RNA". Lineage: Eukaryota; Viridiplantae; Streptophyta; Magnoliopsida; Poales; Poaceae. The record is from RNAcentral.
AUGUCUUGGUCUGAGCUCCCGGAGGACCUCGGCGACUCGAUCCUCCGCCGCCUCCGGCGCCACGAUGAUCGCGUCUGCUUCGGCGCCGUCUGCCGGCAGUGGCGCUCCUGUGCAUGGCGGAACAGCCCUCCGUCGCUCUUCCCGUGGCUCGCCUUACCGGACCAGACCUUUUACAGCUUGCCCGACUCGGCUUUCCGGCCGCUGUCGCUCCGUCUUGACUUCCAUCGCCAGGUACCGCAUGCCCAGAGCUCCUGCGGCGAGUGGCUCGCCUAUGAGCGCAUCGACGGCGCCUACACGCUGGUGAGCCCUUUCUCCGUGGCCACCACCAUGGUGCUCUCUCGGCUAUCCGCAGGACCGGCCUUGUCGGAGCCGUUCGUCAGGAAGCUGGUCGUGUGCUCGCCCAACCUUGUCGUUGCGGUCGUUGGUGAGGAAGGGAUUCACAAGCUGGCCUUGUGCCGGCCAGGAGCGGCGUCCUGGGUGGUGAUCGCCCACGACCAGCUGAGGCGAGUUCAAGACAUGAUCUUCUAUCAAGGCAAGCUCUACAUCCUCCAGGAGACCCGCGACCACCUCCUCUCCGUCUCCGUCGGCGAGGACAGAACCGGCGAGCCGACCGUGACCCGGGUGGAUAGACUUAUGCAGGUCCCUACAUGGGGCUACAUCGAGUCGCCGCUGCAAUACCUCCUGGAAUCUGACGGCGCGCUGCUGAUGGUGCGCAGAGAGGAUCCUAACACACGAGACCCCUUACAAUUCUUGGGAGACGGUGGAGGGCGUUUGCACAAGGUAGGCGCGGGCUUGGAGAAGCCCACUGAAUUCACGGUGUUCGCGGCGGACUUGGCGGGAUCACGGUGGACGGAGGUGAGCAGCGUCGGGGAAGUCCGGGUGCUGUUCGUCGGGCAAUGGUGCUCCCGAGCUGUACGCGUCCCGGACCAGUGCAAGGAGUACGUCGCGGGGGACCGUAUCUUCUUCGUGGACGCUCAUGCUGCCCGCGGCUACGCCGACCCGUGCUACCGGAAGAAGGUCUGGUUUUACUGCAGCGUCCACGACAUGGGGGAACCGCGGUCUCGAACGUAUCUGAGGAUCAAGGUACGGCCGCUGAAAGGGUUUCCCGUUGCGUGGCUGUUCCCUCGUUUGGAGCCGGUGAUGAACAGCUAG